GGGGGUGCCCUGGUUUCGACAGGGAUAAAGGGGAUUGCUGAUGCAUGCCGAGAAGAUUACCUACUCGUUAAUCACGGUGAUAAACUAAUUAAACGCAAACGAUAACUUUGCAUUAGCUGCUUAGUUCAGCUACGACCCUGUAAAGCUUGGCUGUUAGGCUUGCAGUAGGUCGCCAUAAUUAAUAGCUAUAAACGGCAGAUGUCUAUGAUGUCGUUCGAAAACUUAUAGGCUGGCUUUCCAGUUUGGUUUGACUGUUUCCCAUCGGGAAAGUGAGAUUAAAAACAGCUAAGCAUGUAGAUUCGGCUUUUGACUUAUCUUUGGACGCGGGUUCGAUUCCCGCCACCUCCACCA
Molecule: transfer-messenger RNA, 351 nt
Filed under: Candidatus Cloacimonadota bacterium
Lineage: Bacteria; Pseudomonadati; Candidatus Cloacimonadota
Description: Candidatus Cloacimonetes bacterium transfer-messenger RNA
Rfam family: transfer-messenger RNA
About the family: Bacterial tmRNA, also known as 10Sa RNA or SsrA, is named for its dual tRNA and mRNA-like properties. Its role is to liberate the mRNA from a stalled ribosome.
Source: RNAcentral